CGGUUCAUCCUGCCGGACCUUACCGCUAUCGGGAUGAGACUAAGCCAUGCAAGUUGCGCGCCUCCCAGGCAACGCAUUUGGAGAGCGCAACAUACUGCUCCGUAACACGUAGUCAACCUGCCCUUGGGACGGGGAUAACCCCGGGAAACUGGGGCUAAUACCCGACGGGCGAAAGAGCCUGGAAUGGUCUUUCGCCAAAAGGACGUCGAGAACAUGCUCUCGACGUCGCCCAAGGAUGGGACUGCGUCCGAUCAGGUUGUUGGUGGGGUAACGGCCCACCAAACCUAUGACCGGUACGGGCCCCGAGAGGGGGAGCCCGGAGAUGGGAACUGAGACAAGGUCCCAGGCCCUACGGGGCGCAGCAGGCGCGAAAACUCCACAAUACGCGAAAGCGUGAUGGGGUCAUCCCGAGUGCCGUCCGUUGAGGAUGGCUUUUUCCCGGUGUAAGGAGCCGGAGGAAUAAAGGGAGGGCAAGACUGGUGUCAGCCGCCGCGGUAAUACCAGCUCCCUGAGUGGUAAGGACGAUUAUUGGGCCUAAAGCGUCCGUAGCCGGCUUAACAAGUCUCUUGUUAAAUCCAAUGAUUCAAUCAUUGACCUGCAAGAGAUACUGUUAGGCUAGAGGACGGGAGAGGUCGACGGUAUUCCAAGGGUAGGGGUGAAAUCCUAUAAUCCUUGGAGGACCACCAGUGGCGAAGGCGGUCGACUAGAACGUGCCUGACGGUGAGGGACGAAAGCUGGGGGAGCGAACCGGAUUAGAUACCCGGGUAGUCCCAGCUGUAAACGAUGCGGGCUAGGUGUUGGGGUAGCUACGAGCUACCCCAGUGCCGCAGAGAAGUCGUUAAGCCCGCCGCCUGGGGAGUACGGCCGCAAGGCUGAAACUUAAAGGAAUUGGCGGGGGAGCAC
Molecule: ribosomal RNA, 903 nt
Filed under: uncultured archaeon
Lineage: Archaea
Description: bacterial SSU rRNA
Rfam family: Archaeal small subunit ribosomal RNA
Source: RNAcentral